This 696-nucleotide ribosomal RNA is filed under the name uncultured bacterium. Its description in RNAcentral is "bacterial SSU rRNA". It matches the Rfam family "Bacterial small subunit ribosomal RNA", at positions 32 to 715 of the family's 1533-position model. The record is from RNAcentral.
AACGCUAGCUACAGGCUUAACACAUGCAAGUCGAGGGGAAACGAUAUUGGAAGCUUGCUUCCGAUAGGCGUCGACCGGCGCACGGGUGAGUAACGCGUAUCCCACCUGCCCACCACUUGGGGAUAACCUUGCGAAAGUAAGACUAAUACCCAAUGAUAUCUCUAGAAGACAUCUGAAAGAGAUUAAAGAUUUAUCGGUGAUGGAUGGGGAUGCGUCUGAUUAGCUUGUUGGCGGGGUAACGGCCCACCAAGGCAACGAUUAGUAGGGGUUCUGAGAGGAAGGUCCCCCACAUUGGAACUGAGACACGGUCCAAACUCCUACGGGAGGCAGCAGUGAGGAAUAUUGGUCAAUGGGCGAGAGCCUGAACCAGCCAAGUAGCGUGCAGGAAGACGGCCCUAUGGGUUGUAAACUGCUUUUAUAAGGGAAUAAAGUUAGUCUCGUGAGACUUUUUGCAUGUACCUUAUGAAUAAGGACCGGCUAAUUCCGUGCCAGCAGCCGCGGUAAUACGGAAGGUCCGGGCGUUAUCCGGAUUUAUUGGGUUUAAAGGGAGCGUAGGCCGGAGAUUAAGCGUGUUGUGAAAUGUAGAUGCUCAACAUCUGAACUGCAGCGCGAACUGGUUUCCUUGAGUACGCACAAAGUGGGCGGAAUUCGUGGUGUAGCGGUGAAAUGCUUAGAUAUCACGAAGAACUCCGAUUG